Molecule: ribosomal RNA, 554 nt
Filed under: uncultured bacterium
Lineage: Bacteria
Description: partial 16S ribosomal RNA
Rfam family: Bacterial small subunit ribosomal RNA
Source: RNAcentral
UAGGGAAUCUUCCACAAUGGACGCAAGUCUGAUGGAGCAACGCCGCGUGAGUGAAGAAGGUUUUCGGACCGUAAAGCUCUGUUGUUGGUGAAGAAGGAUAGAGGUAGUAACUGGCCUUUAUUUGACGGUAAUCAACCAGAAAGUCACGGCUAACUACGUGCCAGCAGCCGCGGUAAUACGUAGGUGGCAAGCGUUGUCCGGAUUUAUUGGGCGUAAAGCGAGCGCAGGCGGAAGAAUAAGUCUGAUGUGAAAGCCCUCGGCUUAACCGAGGAAUUGCAUCGGAAACUGUUUUCUUGAGUGCAGAAGAGGAGAGUAGAACUCCAUGUGUAGCGGUAGAAUGCGUAGAUAUAUGGAAGAAUACCAGUGGCGAAGGCGGCUCUCUGGUCUGCAACUGACGCUGAGGCUCGAAAGCAUGGGUAGCGAACAGGAUUAGAUACCCUGGUAGUCCAUGCCGUAAACGAUGAGUGCUAAGUGUUGGGAGGCUUCCGCCUCUCAGUGCUGCAGCUAACGCAUUAAGCACUCCGCCUGGGGGAGUACGACCGCAAGGUUGAAAC